Molecule: ribosomal RNA, 377 nt
Filed under: uncultured bacterium
Lineage: Bacteria
Description: bacterial SSU rRNA
Rfam family: Bacterial small subunit ribosomal RNA
Source: RNAcentral
AUACGGGGGGUGCAAGCGUUAUUCGGAAUUAUUGGGCGUAAAGGGCGCGUAGGCGGCUCUGUAAGUCAGACGUGAAAUCCCGGGGCUUAACCUCGGAAGUGCGUUUGAAACUAUAGGGCUUGAGUAUGGGAGAGGGAAGUGGAAUUCCUGGUGUAGAGGUGAAAUUCGUAGAUAUCAGGAGGAACACCGGUGGCGAAGGCGACUUCCUGGACCAAUACUGACGCUGAGGCGCGAAGGCGUGGGGAGCAAACAGGAUUAGAUACCCUGGUAGUCCACGCAGUAAACGUUGAACACUAGGUGUAGCGGGUAUUGACCCCUGCUGUGCCGCAGUUAACGCAUUAAGUGUUCCGCCUGGGAAGUACGACCGCAAGGUUAAA